CCCUUAGAUGUUCUGGGCCGCACGCGCGCUACAAUGAUGAAUUCAACGAGUUUAUAACCUUGGUUGAAAAGCCUGGGUAAUCUUUUGAACUUUCGUCGUGAUGGGGCUAGACCCUUGCAAUUAUUGGUCUCCAACGAGGAAUUCCUAGUAAGCGCAAGUCAUCAGCUUGCAUUGAUUACGUCCCUGCCCUUUGUACACACCGCCCGUCGCACCUACCGAUUGAAUGGUCCGGUGAAAUCUUCGGAUUGAGACUUUGAUUUCUUCACGGAAAACGCUGUUUUAAAAAGUUGAUUAAACCUUACCAUUUAGAGGAAGGUGAAGUCGUAACA
This 329-nucleotide ribosomal RNA is filed under the name uncultured eukaryote. Its description in RNAcentral is "partial 18S ribosomal RNA". It matches the Rfam family "Eukaryotic small subunit ribosomal RNA", at positions 1470 to 1796 of the family's 1831-position model. The record is from RNAcentral.